GUUAACACUAUGAGACAUCAUGCUGGGUGCAGCUCGCAGCUGAUGGAUGUUCGUGUGAGCUUUUUGCACCCAAAUGGCGGCAGUACUUUAGCAUUGCUGAGGGGACUCGGCCGUGUCAUAGCAGGAGUAAUUGCUCAGGUCCCAAAGGAGCCAAAGUGUUGAGAGCGAAGCUGUUUGUGUGAACCAUUCCUCAAGAAAGCUGCCAGUAGCAACACCGCAGGUUAAGCAAAACAGACCUUGCAAACAGGCCCGUCUUGAAGAGGCGCUGCACUGGUAUGUUCAAUGGGAGGAAUGCCAGCGAUAAUGUUUAUUCAGCCAGUUAAAUAGCAAGCUCUGCAAUGCCAGCUUCGUAGGAUAGGAUAGUUUGAAAUGAAUAUCCAGAUCUGCAGAAAUGCCGGUUAUUCCACAGAAACUUUCUGCCAUCAAAAGUGUUCAAUAUGCAACUUAUCCAACGUAUUCAAUGCGACAAAGAUUGAGCCUUUUCGCGUCAAGAUGACAGCCCAAACAGGUGAGAAAACAAAUGAGCGAUUAAUAGGGUCUCCCUGGAGAGCGCCAACACAGCCGCAGCCAGGGCGGUUCCGGCCAGUCAAGACCAGUGCAGCUGCAGCAUUAUGCAGAAGUGGAACCCGUGACAGUCAGGCGACAUCUCUACAUUUUCCCAUCACGCCCCCUGCGAUGUACAACGCUGAGACACCACGACCACAAACUUCCUCUAUCUGUGACAGCAACCAAGAAGAGCGGCCAAACAACCAGGGACCAAGGCCCAACCUUUGGGCGGCUCUGCUUCCUGUGAUGAAAAUACCGGUGAAAAAAAACAAAAUCUGUGAGAAGGUCCAGCGAGUUUCUCCUUUUCAGCUGAAUGACGACAUUGAAAGAAAACACUGAAGCAACCUUCAGCCACUUUGAUGACCUUUUGAAAUGGAUCGUGGGGCUAACGUUUUCCAUCUUAUAAUGGUGAACAAACCAAAAGUGAAAUACAAAAUGAAUAUCCUGCACAUGAACAUUGACAACAUCUUUGUAAACAGCUCAGUGGUCCCUCAAUCCAAACAGGCCAAGCAUUUCCCACAAUUUCCCGAGCUUACAGUAACUGGAAGUGUGUGUGUGUGAUGCUUGACAAUGUGUUGUAUGUCACAUGACUUCCCAGCAGACAAUUAAACUGAAACGAAAGAGAAUCCAUGGGGUUAUCCAGUUCUAAUUUACCGC
This is a long non-coding RNA of Gasterosteus aculeatus aculeatus (three-spined stickleback), 1203 nucleotides long. The record is from Ensembl. Lineage: Eukaryota; Metazoa; Chordata; Actinopteri; Perciformes; Gasterosteidae.